AUUGAACGCUGGCGGCAUGCCUUACACAUGCAAGUCGAACGGCAGCACGGGAGCUUGCUCCUGGUGGCGAGUGGCGAACGGGUGAGUAAUGCAUCGGAACGUGCCCUGAAGUGGGGGAUAACGUAGCGAAAGUUACGCUAAUACCGCAUAUUCUGUGAGCAGGAAAGCAGGGGAUCUUCGGACCUUGCGCUUUUUGGAGCGGCCGAUGUCGGAUUAGCUAGUUGGUGGGGUAAAGGCCCACCAAGGCGACGAUCCGUAGCGGGUCUGAGAGGAUGAUCCGCCACACUGGAACUGAGACACGGUCCAGACUCCUACGGGAGGCAGCAGUGGGGAAUUUUGGACAAUGGGCGCAAGCCUGAUCCAGCCAUGCCGCGUGAGUGAAGAAGGCCU
Molecule: ribosomal RNA, 390 nt
Filed under: uncultured bacterium
Lineage: Bacteria
Description: bacterial SSU rRNA
Rfam family: Bacterial small subunit ribosomal RNA
Source: RNAcentral